GACGAACGCUGGCGGCGUGCUUAACACAUGCAAGUCGAGCGGUAAGGCCCUUUCGGGGGUACACGAGCGGCGAACGGGUGAGUAACACGUGGGUGACCUGCCCUCAGCUCUGGGAUAAGCCCGGGAAACUGGGUCUAAUACCGGAUAUGACUCCAUGACGCAUGUUGUGGGGUGGAAAGCCUUGUGCGGCUGAGGAUGGGCCCGCGGCCUAUCAGCUUGUUGGUGGGGUGAUGGCCACCAAGGCGACGACGGGUAGCCGGCCUGAGAGGGCGACCGGCCACACUGGGACUGAGAUACGGCCCAGACUCCUACGGGAGGCAGCAGUGGGGAAUAUUGCGCAAUGGGCGGAAGCCUGACGCAGCGACGCCGCGUGGGGAUGACGGCC
Molecule: ribosomal RNA, 385 nt
Filed under: uncultured bacterium
Lineage: Bacteria
Description: bacterial SSU rRNA
Rfam family: Bacterial small subunit ribosomal RNA
Source: RNAcentral